RNAcentral lists this ribosomal RNA (642 nucleotides) under Skermanella sp. RNAcentral's name for it is "bacterial SSU rRNA". It matches the Rfam family "Bacterial small subunit ribosomal RNA", at positions 28 to 716 of the family's 1533-position model. The record is from RNAcentral. Lineage: Bacteria; Pseudomonadati; Pseudomonadota; Alphaproteobacteria; Rhodospirillales; Azospirillaceae.
AACGAACGCGGGCGGCAUGCAUAACACAUACAAGUAGAACGACGCCUUCGGGCAUAGUGGCGCACGGGUGAGUAACGCGUGGGAACAUGCCCUGUGGUACGGAAUAAUUCCGGGAAACUGGAGCUAAUACCGUAUGUGUCCCCUGGGACAAAGAUUUAUCGCCACGGGAUGGGCCCGCGUAGGAUUAGCUUGUUGGUGGGGUAACGGCCUACCAAGGCUACGAUCCUUAGCUGGUCUGAGAGGAUGAUCAGCCACACUGGGACUGAGACACGGCCCAGACUCCUACGGGAGGCAGCAGUGGGGAAUAUUGGACAAUGGGCGCAAGCCUGAUCCAGCAAUGCCGCGUGAGUGAUGAAGGCCUUCGGGUUGUAAAGCUCUUUCGCACGCGACGAUGAUGACGGUAGCAUGAGAAGAAGCCCCGGCUAACUUCGUGCCAGCAGCCGCGGUAAUACGAAGGGGGCUAGCGUUGUUCGGAAUUACUGGGCGUAAAGGGCGCGUAGGCGGUGUGUCAAGUCGGGCGUGAAAGCCCCGGGCUCAACCUGGGAACAGCGCUUGAGACUGGCACGCUGGAGUUCGGGAGAGGAGGGUGGAAUUCCCAGUGUAGAGGUGAAAUUCGUAGAUAUUGGGAAGAACACCGAGUGG